AAUAUUGGUUUCAAUACGACCACCAAAGUUAAGCAAUGUUAAGCCUGUUCAGUACCUAGAUGGGUGACCGCUUGGGAAUACGAGGUGCUGUAAG
This is a non-coding RNA of Acanthosepion pharaonis, 94 nucleotides long. NCBI's taxonomy places the organism in Eukaryota, Metazoa, Mollusca, Cephalopoda, Sepiida, Sepiidae. The record is from the annotation of a GenBank genome assembly.